RNAcentral lists this ribosomal RNA (407 nucleotides) under bacterium enrichment culture clone ALO1_GLFRUDD03G4W5S. Its description in RNAcentral is "bacterial SSU rRNA". It matches the Rfam family "Bacterial small subunit ribosomal RNA", at positions 9 to 416 of the family's 1533-position model. The record is from RNAcentral.
GAGUUUGAUCGUGGCUCAGAUUGAACGCUGGCGGCAUGCCUUACACAUGCAAGUCGGACGGCAGCACGGGAGCUUGCUCCUGGUGGCGAGUGGCGAACGGGUGAGUAAUGCAUCGGAACGUAUCCUGGAGUGGGGGAUAACGUAGCGAAAGUUACGCUAAUACCGCAUAUUCUGUGAGCAGGAAAGCGGGGGACCUUCGGGCCUCGCGCUCUUGGAGCGGCCGAUGUCGGAUUAGCUAGUUGGUGAGGUAAAGGCUCACCAAGGCGACGAUCCGUAGCAGGUCUGAGAGGAUGAUCUGCCACACUGGAACUGAGACACGGUCCAGACUCCUACGGGAGGCAGCAGUGGGGAAUUUUGGACAAUGGGGGCAACCCUGAUCCAGCCAUGCCGCGUGAGUGAAGAAGGCC